RNAcentral lists this ribosomal RNA (460 nucleotides) under uncultured bacterium. RNAcentral's name for it is "partial 16S ribosomal RNA". It matches the Rfam family "Bacterial small subunit ribosomal RNA", at positions 338 to 795 of the family's 1533-position model. The record is from RNAcentral.
CCUACGGGAGGCAGCAGUGAGGAAUAUUGGUCAAUGGGCGGGAGCCUGAACCAGCCAAGUCGCGUGAGGGAAGACGGUCCUAUGGAUUGUAAACCUCUUUAGGCGGGGAGCAAUGCCGGGCACGCGUGCCCGGAGGGAGAGUACCCGCAGAAUAAGCAUCGGCUAACUCCGUGCCAGCAGCCGCGGUAAUACGGAGGAUGCGAGCGUUAUCCGGAUGUAUUGGGUUUAAAGGGUGCGUAGGCGGAUUUGUAAGUCAGCGGUAAAAUGUCCGGGCUCAACCCGGGCCGGCCGUUGAAACUGGGGAUCUUGAGUGGGCGAGAAGUAUGCGGAAUGCGUGGUGUAGCGGUGAAAUGCAUAGAUAUCACGCAGAACUCCGAUUGCGAAGGCAGCAUACCGGCGCCCGACUGACGCUGAGGCACGAAAGCGUGGGGAUCGAACAGGAUUAGAUACCCCAGUAGUC